UCACAGCCCACUUCAUGCUUGGCUGAGGGAAAGGUUAACAAACACAGGACAGAUGAUCAGUCACUGUAAAAUCAGAUGGAUGGUGUGAAUUGAAGCAGGCAUUAAGGGGGUUGUUUUACGCAUCAGUAAUACUUCUGAGCAUCACAUUUCAUCUCUCCAAAAUAACACACAGUUUUCUGGCAGGCAAAGGCCCUUAAAACAUGAAAUAACAAACUGAGGAGGGGUGGGAGGAUAAUGCUUCCUAAUGCAUAGAGCUUGUAUGACUACCGUCAUACCUAAAUUUACAACUUUCACUCACUAAAUCCAUUGCAGAGAUCUCCUCCUACAAGCCAGCAUUCUAGCCCCCAGAUAUCAACAAUUAGGGAUAUUUGAAAGUACAAUGUUUAAACGACCCAUAUGAGUGAUGGCGAAUACAAAAAUAAGAGAAAUAAGAAGCAGAAAUAAGACAAAAAAUAGAUAGCAUAAAAAUGGAUUUGGAAAUUAUUUUUGACUUAGAAAACAAGUAAAUGUGUCCUUGCUACUAACUCACAGCAAGACGGUUGUGGGUGUGAAUGUCGACCCUGUUCUUUUUCAUUGUUCAUCAGUGUUAUUUUCUUUAAAUUAAUUUGUAUGUGUAUGCUGUUGUGUCAAAGUUACUACAGAAAGCCGGAGUUGGUCUCCAUCUGUUAAGGCCAUUUUCAUGAGCAGGUCAAAUAAGAUUGAUUCAGAGGAAAUAUGUAAGAAUCUUUGAGAUAACAACAGUGAUAUUGUUUCUGUAUCUUAGCCAAUCUAAUACAUCACUGUCUCCAAUUAUAUAUACUAUUUGAUGGAGUGAUGCGUUUGUUUCCUUUAGAAGUCAACAUACUUCAUCAAACUAAAUCAUAUUUAUUUCCUUGCGUUCUUUAGCUGUGGUUAUAUGUGGCUAUAAAUCAUAAUACCAGAUUGGUGGUUAAGUGGUGACAAUUUGAGAUAACCUCUCUUCCGAUAACUCGUUGCUUGUAGGCAGCAUCAAACUGGGAAAGCAAUGAAGACUGUGAGUCCCACAGUAGUGAAAGCACCAAAAAGUAAACUUUAUCUCAAAAUACACAAGUAAUUUCACCCCAAUCUAUCUGCUGGCCAAUUCAGCACCCACCAAACACCAUUUUCUCAUCAUUUCACGGCAAUCAUCAUGAGGGAAGAGGCCAGGUCUGAACUGAGCUGUGCGUCAACAUGUCGCUGGCCAUAACAGCGCUGUGCUGAACUCACAUCCAUUAAUGUGACGUAACCCAAAAAGCUCUCAGCUUCUCUCCAGAGAGUUGAUAUAACCGGAAAAAAAAUACUACGUUAUUGUUACAAAUUCAUUGUGUCCAAUACAUUCCAUUCACAAGUAUCUAUAAUAAAGACAGAAAUCUACCUUCGUACACACAUCUCAGGACAAACACUACGUCAGAGGGAAGCAUUCACCUCAGUUGGAGUUUUUACCACAAACACAGCAGUGUUAAUGGUUUCAUGGAAAAAACUGACAUUAUAAAAGCAAAUCAAAGAUGAUCUGACAGCGCAGCUACUUUCAAAAGUUCAGUUGUGCAAGGCUGGAAUUAUUUCUCAUAUUGCGGCACAGGCUGAGCAAGCAGUGAGGCACACUUCUUUCUGUGUUUGUUUUCCCCUUAGUUUAAUUAGGGAAGGGUAUAACGUGUUCCUAAUAACUCAGACUGAACAAAGUAAGGAAGGAAGUAAGGAAGAUUCUGCUGAGUAAAUAUUAUUGUGGCCAGAACACAGAUUCUAAGUUAUUAAAAUGGUUAAUUAACUUUGUUUCCAGUAGUGUGAGUAACAACAUUAUCGAUUAUGUGUUCCCUGAUGCAGAGCUAUUAAUACCAAUAAGUUAAUAGCAAUAAUUACAGAUAACGAUGUUGUUACAAAUAUACUGCUGCACUAAUGAGCAACCAAGCAGUCAGUUUUUAAUUUUGACAAGAUAAUAUAACUUAAAUUGUAUAAGAAGUUCCGAUCAGAGGUGGGAGUUUUCUUAGUGGUGAUGGAAAUGAAAAGUGGACCUUUAUAUUUCCUUUAACAUUUUCUUACAGGCUUUUUUCACAGAAGACCUUUUGAUUUGUUAUGGUAGUAAAAGCCAUGACAUCCUCUAGGCAUUUACAAAGAGGUACAAAACAUUUUAGGGCUUUGAAUUCAUUCAAUAACUGCCUCUCGGCCCUCAACGGUGAUGAAGUCGGUCAGAAAACUUCAACUGGAUUCAACUGUGGGUGCAGGGACUGCAAAGAGGGAAUUGCCCUUUGGAGCCCAGCGGUACAGCCUGAGAACGACACUGGGAAGUAAAUCUACCAAUUCACAAGACGCUGCAGACUGCGUUGCUGGGUCUAAAAUAAACCCUUCUAAAGCCAUUAUAAAUAAAUAGAUAGAUUUAAGCAACUGUCUCCUCUUUUCCUAUUUAAAACCUAUACCUUCUGUCUCAGGGGAACUAGACUUUGAAGGAUGUAAUUGUUCGGGAGGGGGGGAGGGGUGGGGUCCCAUUGGUCUGAGCAAAGUUCCCACAAAUUCCCAUUGGGCAUGGCUCUGACCGAGUGUGUGUUUGUGUGUGUAGGUGUGUAUGUGUACGUGUAGUAACUCUGCUUGGGUAUAAAAACCCAGACAUCUCCAAGUUCAGUCUCAUGUACUCCCACCCUUCACUCCCACCAUCACCACCCCAAGUCCACAUUUCCCUUUGUCUCAUCCAGGAAAAACAGCCUGGAUCGCUGAUAAUGUAGCCUCCAAAAUGUGACGUUGUUUGUUCAACCACAAUGGACUAAAUUCACCAAAAGAAACAUUGCUUUUCAGCCACUAUCAGAAUGGAGCGUAUUACACAAAUCUAAAACUAGAUCUAUUCACGGAGAAAUCUAUCUGGACCAGCUGUGCCCGGGCUACUCCUUGCACUCCUUAAUCUCAGACAUUAGAGUUUCAUCAUAUUUUUGAGACUGCAUAAGUACUGAUAAGGACUCAGCGCUGUCAUGAUCUCCAAUCAGCUCACAGUUUCACGAGUGCAGACUCAUUUCAUUCCUUCCAAUCCAAAAAUAAACAGGCUGCAGGUAGAAAGGCGGUUACGGUCAGAGGUGUCAUGCAGGUUUAUCUGAUCUAAGCCUCAAAGCAAUCUGAUCAUUGGAUGUAAUGUGUCUGGAAUUACAAACGGCGCCUUACUAAAGUGGCAUAGCAUCCCACAAACCAAGAUCACUCACUAGAGCCCUCGAGAUGAUCCAGAGAGGCCAAAUACUAUACAGUGCUCGGAGGGCAUAGAUGCUUGAAAUCACAGCACAACACUAACACCUACAGCUGUUUGCUUUUUAUUUCCUGAUCAAAGACUUGAAGGCUAUUUCUGCUCACUCAGACAAGGAGGAUGGAAUGUCUCCUGUAUAGCCAAAGUUAACAUUAAAGUAUUACUAGACAAGAUGGCAUCCCUGCACUAUGCAUACAAGUAUUGGAUUCAAUUAGUUAAAUGAACCCUCUAAUAAUUACACGUAUAUGUUACAAUAUCCGGUCAAAGGGUUAAACUUGCUGAAGCCGAUUGCUGAAACCGAUUGCCAGCCUCAUCACUCAUCUUAUCUUUUACCAAACCGGCCAACAAAAGUGAGGAAUGAGCGAUGCAAAACAAGUCAACUUCUUUCAUUAAAUGCGGCUGUCAUGCACAAUGAAAUACUUUUCCCACCUGCAGUUGAAUAUCUGCUUGUUGGAAGACUUUGGGGUCAAAGUGUGGUCAGUUGCAAUCUUCCCAUCUGGUCUGUACUUGAACCACAGAUGGAGGGUGAAGUUUACACGGCACAAACACGGCGACCCCGUUCAUUCAACACGACAAAAUGCGGCACAGGAAAUUUGCUUUAUGCUACGGUCACAUCCAGGUAUAAAGAGAGCUCAGUGGGGAAACUCGAUUCUACUGAACAAUGAGUGCACCUGUUAUGAAUUAACAAGUAGUUUGAUACACUGUAUGUGCAAACAGGAACGCAGUGUCAACAACAAUGUGUUUAUUUUCAAAUGUACAGAAAAAGUGACGGUGAUAAGAUGGGGUCAGAGACAGUGUGCAAUCUCCAGAUCGUAUGUGUCGCUGCCGAAGAAUGUGAGCAAUGUCACCUGGGUGUGUUACCGUUUCCAUCCAAGGUGACGUCACAAUCUUAUACAGUCAGACAAUACAACCUGUUUCAAAUAAACCACAAGUGAUCAACAAUACAAAAGCACAAAACAGAUGGUUCUUGCUGUUCUCGGACGGCCCCAUGUGUCAAUAACUUUAGCUUAUAUUCAAAACCUCAAAUUAUCUCUAGCCUAAUGCUCGCCCCGGCCUUCUCGCAUCGGGGAUUCAUCAUAGUUGCGGAGGAAAAGGGGAAUGCUGGAGACAACCAAACAGGCAGCAACCCAGGAAGCUCUCGCUCAAGACGGAAGCAUCAAGCAUGAUUCCUUUCUCAGAUAAGGUUGGAAUUCAAUUAGUAGGCAGUCUUUGAGACAUCUGAAAAUAGUGAGAACACAAACAGCAGAUUGAGAAAAGAGGAGGCUGGAAUGAAAAUGCUUAAUGUCUACGUGAACCUCGGAUAUACAGUAAAUGAAAGGUAACUCAAGUCCAAUCCAAUUCAGAGGAUCUAUUAGAGAAAGAAAAGCUUGGGUUCCCAUGGCUCGCUGUAGACCCCUGCAUUAACUCUCUCUGUGCACGAAGAAGAGUGGGUGUUCCAAAAAUGCAUGAGAAAUCACUGAAGCAUAUUUAAAGAACUUUUUAUUGGUUGUUAACUUCAGCCGAACUCAUCUCGCUUAGGGCACUUUCACAAAAACAGGCUUUGUCAUUCACUCUAUUAAGGCUAAGUAGGUCAUGACAAUAGACAGGAUAAUCAGAUAACUUUAUUUAAUUUAACCUUCAGACUCUUGGCAGUAUAUGUACCUCUUUCCUUUGGUGGGAAGGUCUCCAUUGCAAAAUCACACAAUUUCAAGAUGAGUUACUGAGCAUAAACUAGAAAGGGGUUAUGAGCAAAUCCUUUUUUAAUUUUUGCAACCCCUAAAGACAGCUCUCCGCCUUUUGGGAAAACGCAUCAUUACAUCGUGGUUCGUGCUUCUUGCACAUCAGACGCGUGACUGUGCAAAGACCUGCAUAAAAUAAUUGGGCAAAUCUUUAGCCGAUGUGAUUUUUUUGUUUUGUUUCUGAGCUUAAUAUUGGACCAAAGGGUGUUAAUGAAAGAAAAACCCUUAGACCAUGUGUUAUUAUAUCAUUACAAACUGAAUAAAAAGUGAAAAAGGAUCUGUCAAAUUGAACCUGAGUCUGUCCUUAAAGGCCAUUUUACAAUCUACACUGUUUUCCCUUUGCAUGCAACAAAAACAAUUAUAAGAGUCCGUAGAGGAAAACAGGACAACCCUCCAAUCCCCAGAAUGAAUAAGCUGCCGGAGGCGUUAACAUGUUUU
This is a long non-coding RNA of Gasterosteus aculeatus aculeatus (three-spined stickleback), 5370 nucleotides long. Lineage: Eukaryota; Metazoa; Chordata; Actinopteri; Perciformes; Gasterosteidae. The record is from Ensembl.